GUAAAUGCCAAUACAGCAGCAACAAUGAUUACUGGCAUUAAAAGAAGAUAUAAAUUCAAGGAAUAAAGUUCACAAAGGCUAUUGGCUGUAAGUGGAUCUCAAAUCCCUGAAAUUUGAACAAUUUUGUCCACUGAGCUACAGAAGACACAAACUGAGGCAGGCUCCUUGGGACCUGAGUGAACUUGAGGACUGAGCAGUGGUGUUUCUCUGUAACCAGAUUAAAGAAUUGAACAAAAAAAUACAGCUGAAGGACUAAGAAGAAAGCAUAAGAGGAAAAGACUGGAUUCAGCAAGUUUGAAAAAAAGUGCAAAGAGAAUGCACAUGAAUUCUAAAUCGAUCUGCAUGAAGCAAAGGAAAAGUAUCUUACUAGUGCCUUACAUACUGUUCCUAAAUGCAAGUCACCAGUGGCGCAUGAAAGAGGCGUAAGAAUUGAAGGAUGGGAUCUGAGAAUCCAUGGGAACAAUCUGCCAGCAUAAAGGAUGAGGAGUGCCAGUUGGAUGUCUCUGCUUCAGAUCCUGCUGAAGAAUCCAUGCCAGAAAGGAAUUGACUUGCUUCCAUGUGACCACAAUUCAGUAUAUGUGGUAUUCUUUUGUUUAUUUUCUGAAAGAUUCUGAAAUCCAUGAAAUGUAAUUCUGUCUUAUUCAAUAUAAUGUGAAAAUAUUUCUAGGAUUUUUUUUGAUUCUGAUCGGGGACUCAGCUUUUGACCACAUUUCAAUAAAAGCUUUUCACUCCCACACACAAAGCCCAGUCAAAAUUUUGAACUCUCUCACAGCCUCCUGAUAAGUAGGACAAUUGGACCUUUUAGGACUGCAGUAGAGAGUUUUAGUGGAAAGGUAUCAAGGGACAUGGAAGAAAAGCAGAAAAAUGGACUUGAGGUGAAGAUCAGCCAUGAUCUAACCGAAUGGUGGAGCAAGCCUGAGGGAAUGUACGGCCUACCCCGUUACUAAUGAAUUACGAUGUAAUUAUUGGAUUCAGGUUCCAACUCAAUUCAGAUUCCGACAGUUUUAUUGAAAUCCUGUCAAAAGCAAGGGAGAACUCAUGGCAAUGAAUUGAAACAUCUCUGAAAAUUUUCCACACAGUAAUAAGGUACAAAUCUAAUUCAUCAUUACAGCAAAGUUUGCUUAUAACAAAUUGACCUUGAAAAGAGCUCUUAUCCAAAGCUGGAUGGAACUACUUUUCUUUAACAGUUUUCCAUCUUUAAUCAUUUUAAGGUUGGAAGUCGAAAUCCGUGAGGUAAAAACAAUAACAUUUCCAGCACAAAGUUUGCACAGAUGCAGACCUGCCCAAUGAUCCUUCUAAUCACUUAAUCAACCUGGAAAGCACAGGCCAGCCAGCUGUAAUCACUGAACGAGGUUUCCUAAUGAUUCUUUUACCGUUCCAUCAUCCCAAGCUUCCCCUCUCAGAAAGAAAAGGAAACAAGUUAGAAAUUUAAAAGCCAACUUAAUUGGCACAUCUUUUUAAGUUUCACGUUUUACUACUAAUUUUGCUUCAGCCCCAUUCCUUGGCUACUUCAGCUUGCUGCAUUGAAAUGAAUCUAACAAUAUCAAUCAAAAGUAAUGAUGUUUGAUGAAAUCCAGAGAUUCCUAUCUUUUCACGCCUGAGAAUAGUUGUAACAGAGACUGAAAUUUUAAAAAGAUGUAACUUCUCAAUUCGAUAUGUUCUUGACCAUGUGUAAAACUACAUAAGGAAAUAGGCCAGGCAGACCU
This is a long non-coding RNA of Stegostoma tigrinum, 1706 nucleotides long. RefSeq lists it as uncharacterized. The transcript is spliced from 4 exons. NCBI's taxonomy places the organism in Eukaryota, Metazoa, Chordata, Chondrichthyes, Orectolobiformes, Stegostomatidae. The record is from RefSeq and is a predicted model, not a curated record.